AGCGGCGGAUGGGUGAGUAACACGUGGGGAACCUGCCCCUAAGUCUGGGAUACCAUUUGGAAACAGGUGCUAAUACCGGAUAAUAAAGCAGAUCGCAUGAUCAGCUUUUGAAAGGCGGCGUAAGCUGUCGCUAAGGGAUGGCCCCGCGGUGCAUUAGCUAGUUGGUAAGGUAACGGCUUACCAAGGCGACGAUGCAUAGCCGAGUUGAGAGACUGAUCGGCCACAUUGGGGCUGAGACACGGCCCAAACUCCUACGGGAGGCAGCAGUAGGGAAUCUUCCACAAUGGACGCAAGUCUGAUGGAGCAACGCCGCGUGAGUGAAGAAGGUUUUCGGAUCGUAAAGCUCUGUUGUUGGUGAAGAAGGAUAGAGGUAGUAACUGGCCUUUAUUUGGCGGUAAUCAACCAGAAAGUCACGGCUAACUACGUGCCAGCAGCCGCGGUAAUACGUAGGUGGCAAGCGUUGUCCGGAUUUAUUGGGCGUAAAGCGAGCGCAGGCGGAAAAAUAAGUCUAAUGUGAAAGCCCUCGGCUUAACCGAGGAACCGCAUCGGAAACUGUUUUUCUUGAGUGCAGAAGAGGAGAGUGGAACUCCAUGUGUAGCGGAGGAAUGCGUAGAUAUAUGGAAGAACACCAGUGGCGAAAGGCGGCUCUCUGGUCUGCAACUGACGCUGAGGCUCGAAAGCAUGGGUAGCGAACAGGAUUAGAUACCCUGGUAGUCCAUGCCGUAACGAUGAGUGCUAAGUGU
Molecule: ribosomal RNA, 743 nt
Filed under: uncultured bacterium
Lineage: Bacteria
Description: bacterial SSU rRNA
Rfam family: Bacterial small subunit ribosomal RNA
Source: RNAcentral